GCCGGGUUGGGGUAGGGGUUAUCCUUGGGGACUGUGGAUCCCCGGACCCGGGUUCAAUUCCCGGACCCGGCC
RNAcentral lists this transfer RNA (72 nucleotides) under Thermoplasmatales archaeon E-plasma. It matches the Rfam family "tRNA". From Rfam's summary of the family: Transfer RNA (tRNA) molecules are approximately 80 nucleotides in length. Lineage: Archaea; Methanobacteriati; Thermoplasmatota; Thermoplasmata; Thermoplasmatales. The record is from Rfam by way of RNAcentral. RNAcentral also lists the same sequence under 2 other names.